GGAAAUUCUGAGAGAAGUAGUCUCUGACCAAGGCAGAAGACAAAUCUUCCAGUGAGGAUCUCAUAUUCUUCAGGAUGACACAUCCAAGAAGGCUCAAAAAUUUGACCAACCAAUUUGUCAGGCUCAAACCUCUGAGAGAGGAAGAGAAGUGAUGUGAUGAUGGAGACAAAAAGGAAACUGGGCAGAAACACUAUGAAAGAAGAGAGAACAAGACUAAAACUAAGGUUUGAAGACAUUUUUUUAAGGGUUUCAGUGAAUGCUGUUAAAAUUAGGAGGAUCUCAUUUCUCCACUCCCCAAAAAAGAACAACCAUCCAAGCAGACCAGCUGAUCACCAUUGUUCUGGUAGGACAUCAGACAGAAGCAGAGAACAACUAACUGGGCAGCUUUCUCCACUCCACCCCUCUACAGGAUCUUAGAGUGGAACAAUCAUGUUCAGCCAUUCACCUCUUCUUCCUUUUUAAAUGAAAUAUAGCACCCUUGAAAAUCAGGCAGUCACCUAUUUCUCUGCUGCACACUUACAAAAGCCAGGAAAAUUGGAAAAAUUCCCAUACACCCAGUUCACUCAUGUUUCUAGUUGAUUCUACAAUGAAUUAUUUCUACAUAGGACUGAAGACGGCACUGCCACUGUAACAGAGAGUGUCAGUGUUCGCAAAUCAUUUGACUAAUAAGGGAAUUCCUGACUAGAAUUCGUUCCGAAAUGUGGAAAAGCGUAGAUUCUCCUGUCAAUUCUCCAAGAUGAUCUACAUUGCUCUACCAGCAAACAUUCUUGGGUUUUAUUCUAAGUCAUCCAAAUGGCCUGAAACAGUAUCUCUCAAGCACUUUUAGACAAUUCACAGAAUCUGAAUUUACAUCAAGAACCAUAAAAACCAGCUUCUGGUAAAUCUGGCCAAGAGAAGGAGUUUAAGGGGAGGAGUGCCCGCUACCAUUCCCACGCCAAAAAUCCAUUCUUGGGUCUUCAGGCUGACCACAUAAGCAAAUAUUUCUGGUCUCUUCUUUAUUAUGAAUUUCUAGGUUGGAUACCUUCCUUGACUGUGACCUCCCACAGAAUCCAGCCAGCUCUGGAUUCAGCCAACUCCAGGAAAAAGAAGCAACCCAAGACAAAGGGGAUAAGGAAAAAGAAAAAAGUUCACUGAAAAUGGCAGAGCCACAUGCUGCAGCUGCUGGAACCAGUUGUGUGUACUCACCAGGGAGGAUAGAUAUGGAUGAUAUCCU
Tachyglossus aculeatus (Australian echidna) is the source of this 1213-nucleotide long non-coding RNA. RefSeq lists it as uncharacterized. Lineage: Eukaryota; Metazoa; Chordata; Mammalia; Monotremata; Tachyglossidae. The record is from RefSeq and is a predicted model, not a curated record. The transcript has 3 exons.